UUAAUGGACGAGACCAGCCCCGACUGGACUCCGAGUCAGCACCUGGGGCAUGGUGGUGGUGGAGGCUGUUCGGCCAGCGCAAGCGCUACUACCGUUCAAAGGAACGAACAGCGAGGAAAGCCGUUGCCGCGAAAUCAAGUUCUACUUGCAGUCAUAAGGAUGCCGGUGAUGAGGUCCUGAACUUCCCACUGACCACAGCAGCGGAGCAGCUCAUUGCCCCCAACUUCUAGCAAUGACUCUGAUAACAACACAGAUCUGACGAUUCAAGAUGUGCAAGCACAUGAGACCCGCGUCAGAGUUGCAUGCAACAAGAAAGCAGCAAGUGAUGCUAAUAGAAGAAUCCCUACGUGAAGACCCAGGAAAGGUGUUUUUUUACACAGGACUGGCCAGCAUUGGAAUUCUCUUUGCCACGUUCAAGCUGGUUGAAGCAGCUGUGAGACAUACUCCACAGAAUGGCCUGGAGAAGUUCACAGAGUUUGUGGUUUUCGUAAUGAAGUUGAAAUGGAACUUCCCUCUGCAAGAUCUUGCUUACAGUUUUAACAUUUCAUGCUCAACUGUUAGCAGGGCCUUCGACAAGUGGCUGCAAGGGGCAUUUCGGCGUUU
Ornithodoros turicata is the source of this 603-nucleotide long non-coding RNA. RefSeq lists it as uncharacterized. The transcript is spliced from 3 exons. The record is from RefSeq and is a predicted model, not a curated record. NCBI's taxonomy places the organism in Eukaryota, Metazoa, Arthropoda, Arachnida, Ixodida, Argasidae.